This 253-nucleotide ribosomal RNA is filed under the name uncultured bacterium. RNAcentral's name for it is "partial 16S ribosomal RNA". It matches the Rfam family "Bacterial small subunit ribosomal RNA", at positions 524 to 776 of the family's 1533-position model. The record is from RNAcentral.
UACAGAGGGGGCAAGCGUUAUUCGGAUUUAUUGGGCGUAAAGGGCGCGUAGGCGGUCUGACAAGUGGAAGGCGAAAUCCCCGCGCUUAACGUGGGAACUGCCUUCCAAACUGUUUGACUUGAGUCCGGGAGAGGUGAGUGGAAUUCCCAGUGUAGCGGUGAAAUGCGUAGAUAUUGGGAGGAACACCAGUGGCGAAGGCGGCUCACUGGACCGGAACUGACGCUGAGGCGCGAAAGCGUGGGGAGCAAACAGG